GAAGUUUCAUAAGGUGAAGAUGGUCAGGUGCUGAGUAAUGGACUAAAUUGGACUGGGUUAUGAUCAGGCACUAAAACUUCACCAUAUAGAUUGUAGAAGAUCCAGACAAAUGAAGAGGAAAAUAAUUAUAUUUUCUGUAGUUUACUUAUCUGCUUCACAUAUCCAGUAGCUUUAAGGCAAAGAGGACUCUUCAGCAAUUGAGCUCCUGUAGACAACAGAUGGCAGAUAAUCACUGGAACAGCCUCCAAUUUUGUCAGUAAAAGAAAAGUGAUCGUCCACCUCUCUCCUACAGUAAGUAGCUGAGGAUAUUUCCAUUGAGACCAUUAUAAUCAAAAGACGACUGAGGAUCUGAGAUCUGAAAGAAGACCCCUUCUUGCAGAGAGAAUACUUGGUAGGAUGUGUGUUACAGAUAAAGUGAAACAAGUGGCUCUUGCGAGGUCUUUUGCACAGAAAAGAAUUCCUAAGAAGCUGCACGCCAAAUGAGGUUGUUAAUAAAAAACUGACUCCAGUAUGAAGCUUAAAGUGCCAGUUAUAAUUAAAAAGAAAUUUUAAAAUAAAGUCACCACAG
Molecule: long non-coding RNA, 568 nt
Organism: Suricata suricatta (meerkat)
Lineage: Eukaryota; Metazoa; Chordata; Mammalia; Carnivora; Herpestidae
Exons: 8
Source: RefSeq, a predicted model, not a curated record